UAUGUCAUAAGGUAUUUGAAAAUCAGUGAAAAUAAGCAAAAAUCAAAAUUAAGAACAUGACCUUGACCUUUGACCUUGACCUCAUGUUCAUUUUUUUGGACCAAGGACCUCAAAUCUGAAGACCCUAGGUCUCUAUCACUUAUGGUUUACCAGUUAAAAAUGCAUAAUACUUAUAUCAUUUACAUAAGGGGAAAUAACUCUCAUAUGGAGUCUCUGGAAAGCUUCGGUCCAAAUAAAUUGCCUAAUCCUGAAGAUGUAACGAGCAAUUUGGUAAAAUAAAUUUGUCGUAAUAUUUU
This 296-nucleotide long non-coding RNA is filed under the name Mytilus galloprovincialis (Mediterranean mussel). The record is from RNAcentral. Lineage: Eukaryota; Metazoa; Mollusca; Bivalvia; Mytilida; Mytilidae.